RNAcentral lists this ribosomal RNA (119 nucleotides) under Spinacia oleracea (spinach). Lineage: Eukaryota; Viridiplantae; Streptophyta; Magnoliopsida; Caryophyllales; Amaranthaceae. RNAcentral also lists the same sequence under 4 other names. The record is from RNAcentral.
GGGUGCGAUCAUACCAGCACUAAUGCACCGGAUCCCAUCAGAACUCCGCAGUUAAGCGUGCUUGGGCGAGAGUAGUACUAGGAUGGGUGACCUCCUGGGAAGUCCUCGUGUUGCACUCC